ACAAAAUCGGGCGCACCGACUGUUUACUAAAAACACAGAUAACUGCUAAGAUUUUAUAUAUUUGUAUAGUUGUCGAAUUUUGCCCAAUGCCAUUAAUAUAAACAAGGUGAGUUAUUUUUACCAAGUGAAAAUCUGGUCAAUGGCGGUCUUAACCAUAAGGAUCCAAAGGUAGCAAAAUUCAUUGUCCGCUAAAUACGGUCCUGCAUGAAUAAAGUAACGAUUGCGCCACUGUGUGUACANGUAU
This 244-nucleotide ribosomal RNA is filed under the name Cantharelloid fungal sp. 14-MR/936AR. RNAcentral describes it as "partial ribosomal RNA large subunit". It matches the Rfam family "Bacterial large subunit ribosomal RNA", at positions 1781 to 2019 of the family's 2925-position model. The record is from RNAcentral. Lineage: Eukaryota; Fungi; Basidiomycota; Agaricomycetes; Cantharellales; Hydnaceae.